RNAcentral lists this ribosomal RNA (441 nucleotides) under uncultured bacterium. RNAcentral's name for it is "partial 16S ribosomal RNA". It matches the Rfam family "Bacterial small subunit ribosomal RNA", at positions 29 to 523 of the family's 1533-position model. The record is from RNAcentral.
AACGAACGCUGGCGGCAUGCCUAACACAUGCAAGUCGAACGAGAUCUUCGGGUCUAGUGGCGCACGGGUGCGUAACGCGUGGGAAUCUGCCCUUUGGUUCGGAGUAACAGUUGGAAACGACUGCUAAUACCGGAUGAUGACGAAAGUCCAAAGAUUUAUCGCCAGAGGAUGAGCCCGUGUAGGAUUAGCUAGUUGGUGUGGUAAAGGCGCACCAAGGCGACGAUCCUUAGCUGGUCUGAGAGGAUGAUCAGCCACACUGGGACUGAGACACGGCCCAGACUCCUACGGGAGGCAGCAGUGGGGAAUAUUGGACAAUGGGCGAAAGCCUGAUCCAGCAAUGCCGCGUGAGGGAUGACGGCCUUCGGGUUGUAAACCACUUUUAUUUGGUCAUAUGACCUUUUGAAUAAGCAACUACUAAUUAUGUGCCAGCAGCCGCAGUAA